CUAUGGCUGCAAUACAGUAGAGAACAUGGAUCUGAAAGGUGCUAAAAUGGAUGAGAUCAGACAUUACAGGCCUGGGAGAAAUGCGAGAUGCUUUAAGAACCAAACAACCUUGCAAUACUGGGGAUUGAAGCAAGAGCUUCUGCAUGCUAAGCAAGCAUUAUACUUAGGUACAUUUGCAGCCCUGCUUAGAGACAGAUCUCAUACAGGGGUCUACAGGGUCUCACUACACAG
Molecule: long non-coding RNA, 231 nt
Organism: Octodon degus (degu)
Lineage: Eukaryota; Metazoa; Chordata; Mammalia; Rodentia; Octodontidae
Exons: 3
Source: RefSeq, a predicted model, not a curated record